UAAGUUAAUAAGGGCGCACGGUGGAUGCCUUGGCACUAGGAGCCGACGAAGGACGUGACAAACGACGAUAUGCCUUGGGUAGCUGUAAGUAAGCGAUGAUCCAGGGAUUUCCGAAUGGGGGAACCCAACAGGUAAUACCUGUUACCUACAUCUGUUAAGGAUGUGAGGAGGAAGACGCAGUGAACUGAAACAUCUAAGUAGCUGCAGGAAGAGAAAGCAAAAGCGAUUGCCUUAGUAGCGGCGAGCGAAACGGCAGAAGGGCAAACCGAAGAGUUUACUCUUCGGGGUUGUAGGACUGCAAUGUGGACUCAAAGAUUAUAGAAGAAUGAUUUGGGAAGAUCAGCCAAAGAGAGUAAUAGCCUCGUAUUUAAAAUAGUCUUUGUACUUAGCAGUAUCCUGAGUACGGCGGGACACGUGAAAUCCCGUCGGAAUCUGGGAGGACCAUCUCCCAACCCUAAAUACUCCCUAGUGACCGAUAGUGAACCAGUACCGUGAGGGAAAGGUGAAAAGCACCCCGGGAGGGGAGUGAAAUAGAACCUGAAACCGUGUGCCUACAACAAGUUCGAGCCCGUUAAUGGGUGAGAGCGUGCCUUUUGUAGAAUGAACCGGCGAGUUACGUUAUGAUGCGAGGUUAAGUUGAAGAGACGGAGCCGUAGGGAAACCGAGUCUGAAUAGGGCGCCUUAGUAUCAUGACGUAGACCCGAAACCAUGUGACCUACCCAUGAGCAGGUUGAAGGUGCGGUAAGACGCACUGGAGGACCGAACCAGGGCACGUUGAAAAGUGCUUGGAUGACUUGUGGGUAGCGGAGAAAUUCCAAACGAACUUGGAGAUAGCUGGUUCUCUCCGAAAUAGCUUUAGGGCUAGCGUCGACAUUAGAGAUUCUUGGAGGUAGAGCACUGUUUGGGUGAGGGGUCCAUCCCGGAUUACCAAUCUCAGAUAAACUCCGAAUGCCAAUGAAAUUAUGGUCGGCAGUCAGACUGCGAGUGCUAAAGAUCCGUAGUCGAAAGGGAAACAGCCCAGACACCAGCUAAGGUCCCAAAAUAAUUGUUAAGUGGAAAAGGAUGUGGGGUUGCACAGACAACUAGGAUGUUAGCUUAGAAGCAGCUAUUCAUUCAAAGAGUGCGUAAUAGCUCACUAGUCGAGUGACCCUGCGCCGAAAAUGUACCGGGGCUAAAACAAUUUACCGAAGCUGUGGAUACCUUUAUAGGUAUGGUAGGAGAGCGUUCUAUGUGUGAUGAAGGUAUACCGUGAGGAGUGCUGGAACGCAUAGAAGUGAGAAUGCCGGUAUGAGUAGCGAAAGACAGGUGAGAAUCCUGUCCACCGUAAGACUAAGGUUUCCAGGGGAAGGCUCGUCCGCCCUGGGUUAGUCGGGACCUAAGGAGAGACCGAAAGGUGUAUCCGAUGGACAACAGGUUGAUAUUCCUGUACUAGAGUAUGUAGUGAUGGAGGGACGCAGUAGGCUAACUAAAGCAGACGAUUGGAAGAGUCUGUCUAAGCAGUGAGGUGUGAAUUGAGUCAAAUGCUUAAUUCUAUAACAUUGAGCUGUGAUGGGGAGCGAAGUUUAGUAGCGAAGUUAGUGACGUCACACUGCCAAGAAAAGCUUCUAGCGUUUAAACAUACUCUACCCGUACCGCAAACCGACACAGGUAGUCGAGGCGAGUAGCCUCAGGUGAGCGAGAGAACUCUCGUUAAGGAACUCGGCAAAAUGACCCCGUAACUUCGGGAGAAGGGGUGCUGACUUAAAGUCAGCCGCAGUGAAUAGGCCCAAGCAACUGUUUAUCAAAAACACAGCUCUCUGCUAAAUCGUAAGAUGAUGUAUAGGGGGUGACGCCUGCCCGGUGCUGGAAGGUUAAGAGGAGUGCUUAGCGUAAGCGAAGGUAUGAAUUGAAGCCCCAGUAAACGGCGGCCGUAACUAUAACGGUCCUAAGGUAGCGAAAUUCCUUGUCGGGUAAGUUCCGACCCGCACGAAAGGCGUAAUGAUUUGGGCACUGUCUCAACGAGAGACUCGGUGAAAUUUUAGUACCUGUGAAGAUGCAGGUUACCCGCGACAGGACGGAAAGACCCCAUGGAGCUUUACUGCAGUUUGAUAUUGAGUGUCUGUACCACAUGUACAGGAUAGGUAGGAGUCUAAGAGAUCGGGACGCCAGUUUCGAAGGAGACGCUGUUGGGAUACUACCCUUGUGUUAUGGCCACUCUAACCCAGAUAGGUGAUCCCUAUCGGAGACAGUGUCUGACGGGCAGUUUGACUGGGGCGGUCGCCUCCUAAAAGGUAACGGAGGCGCCCAAAGGUUCCCUCAGAAUGGUUGGAAAUCAUUCGCAGAGUGUAAAGGUAUAAGGGAGCUUGACUGCGAGAGCUACAACUCGAGCAGGGACGAAAGUCGGGCUUAGUGAUCCGGUGGUUCCGUAUGGAAGGGCCAUCGCUCAACGGAUAAAAGCUACCCUGGGGAUAACAGGCUUAUCUCCCCCAAGAGUUCACAUCGACGGGGAGGUUUGGCACCUCGAUGUCGGCUCGUCGCAUCCUGGGGCUGUAGUCGGUCCCAAGGGUUGGGCUGUUCGCCCAUUAAAGCGGCACGCGAGCUGGGUUCAGAACGUCGUGAGACAGUUCGGUCCCUAUCCGUCGCGGGCGUAGGAAAUUUGAGAGGAUCUGCUCCUAGUACGAGAGGACCAGAGUGGACUUACCGCUGGUGUACCAGUUGUCUUGCCAAAGGCAUCGCUGGGUAGCUAUGUAGGGAAGGGAUAAACGCUGAAAGCAUCUAAGUGUGAAACCCACCUCAAGAUGAGAUUUCCCAUGAUUAUAUAUCAGUAAGAGCCCUGAGAGAUGAUCAGGUAGAUAGGUUAGAAGUGGAAGUGUGGCGACACAUGUAGCGGACUAAUACUAAUAGCUCGAGGACUUAUCCA
This 2899-nucleotide ribosomal RNA is filed under the name Streptococcus pneumoniae GA04672. RNAcentral describes it as "bacterial LSU rRNA". It matches the Rfam family "Bacterial large subunit ribosomal RNA". Lineage: Bacteria; Bacillati; Bacillota; Bacilli; Lactobacillales; Streptococcaceae. The record is from RNAcentral.